GGCGUCUUAGCUCAGAUGGUAGAGCAACGGACUGAAAAUCCGUGUGUCCCCAGUUCGAUUCUGGGAGACGCCA
This 73-nucleotide transfer RNA is filed under the name bacterium. Its description in RNAcentral is "tRNA-Phe". It matches the Rfam family "tRNA". Rfam says of the family: Transfer RNA (tRNA) molecules are approximately 80 nucleotides in length. The record is from RNAcentral.